Molecule: ribosomal RNA, 500 nt
Filed under: uncultured bacterium
Lineage: Bacteria
Description: partial 16S ribosomal RNA
Rfam family: Bacterial small subunit ribosomal RNA
Source: RNAcentral
AUUGAACGCUAGCGGGAUGCCUUACACAUGCAAGUCGAACGGCAGCGCGGACUUCGGUCUGGCGGCGAGUGGCGAACGGGUGAGUAAUGUAUCGGAACGUGCCCAGUAGCGGGGGAUAACUACUCGAAAGAGUAGCUAAUACCGCAUACGCCCUACGGGGGAAAGGGGGGGAUCGCAAGACCUCUCACUAUUGGAGCGGCCGAUAUCGGAUUAGCUAGUUGGUGAGGUAAAGGCUCACCAAGGCGACGAUCCGUAGCUGGUUUGAGAGGACGACCAGCCACACUGGGACUGAGACACGGCCCAGACUCCUACGGGAGGCAGCAGUGGGGAAUUUUGGACAAUGGGGGCAACCCUGAUUCAGCCAUUCCGCGUGUGCGAUAAAGGCCUUCGGGUUGUAAAGCACUUUUGGCAGGAAAGAAAUCGCACGGAUUAAUACUCUGUGUGGAUGACGGUACCUGCAGAAUAAGCACCGGCUAACUACGUGCCAGCCGCCGCCGUAA